CUUAACAGCAGUAAGGAAUAUGGUGGAGAGACGGCGGGAGCUGACGUUUCACACUUCCCGCUGUUGUUGGUGGGUGGGUACGCGCACUUGAUUUUUCCCCCAUCAUCACGACGAUCCAUACGGGCCGCUGUGAUGCUGUGCUGGGAAUUUCAAAGGAGGAAGGGUCGACAAUCUCUGGUUCUCACAGAAGGAGAAGGAGAACUGGAGAAGUAGGAGUAAAGAAGCUCUUUAAGACUCCUUAAUCUCAAAAUCGCACGCAUUGUUCUCCUUGUAUCCAUCCAAUCAUAAGAGUGCUGCAUCUCUCGGAGCCGUGGUUAGUUUUGCCCUUUCUAUAAUUUUUACAUGGAGGUUCUUGAGAGCAAGAAAACUCAUCAUAAUCAAGAAUUAGGAUCUGUGUCUGUGGAGGAUCAGUUAUCCAUUUCUUCAAAGCUCUCGCUGCAAUAAACUGUGCAAGCGAAAUUAAAUGGUGGUCGAAAGAUGACUUGUUGAUUACUGUGUUUUGUUAGUGUAGUCAGAAGGAGCCGAAACUGAUGCCAGAUGAUAUGCUUUUGUAGGAUCAUGUAACUGUCAGGGAAUCUGUGGUGGAUGUGCUGUUGGAAAUAAGUAAAUAUUGUGAUAUCUAUCUUAUGGAAAGAACUCUUGAUGAUGAAAGUGGGUUAAGUAGUAAAUCAUGGUCAUCUUGAAAUCCAUCUGGUAUCAUUUCAUCAAAUAACCAGUUGAUGUAUGCUGAUUGUUGCAUUAGCUUUGUGUUUUGCAUUUCUAUAGCAGAAUCUGGAACUUAUUAAUUACGUUGAUUUUCUUAAAAUCUAACAUGGGUAUAAUAGUUUGUUGUAGUGUCAAUUGGAAGUGCAUGAGUAACUGGCUAACUGCCUUUAGAACUUAUAUUACCCUAGCAGAGGAAUGUGAAAGAAAGUGAAUCCUUUUUAUUUUCAUUUUUAUGAAGUUUUCAAACUUACAUACUCUCUUCUGACCAAGGAAACUUGGAGAAUGGAAAACUGCAAAAGUUGGUCAAUGGAAUCCGUAUAUCUAUUAUCAAAAUUAUAUAUAACAAUGCACUGUCAGUACAGACUAUGAAAAUCAAACUCCCUAAUUAUCGCUGUAAUGGGCACAGAAUAGAAGAACAUUGACUAUUGUAUGGGUUUAGCUAACUAGUGAGAAUAAUUGAAAUUUUCAUGUAUUCUUUCUCUAUCCACCUUUUGGUUUAAUUUUAGUUGUUGGUUGCCAAGGUUCAUUCUCUGAAAAUGGAAUUGUUUAAGAUAUGAAACUGGAUUUUGAUUUUCUUCCAGGACAUAAGUUGAUAAAUUGGCUAUAAGAUAUUUCUCAUUAUUGUCCCUCUUUUAUUUGUAUCUUACUUCCAACACCUUUCUAUUAUCCUUGUUCUACCUUGUUGAACGCCAUGUUUCAAACUACUAUAAUACUUUUAUUUUACUUUUGAGAACACCAGGCGCUUGUCCCCGCUUGCGUUUGCCUGCAUGUUAUAUCAUAUACAUUACAGCUAUUAUACCCUUAGAUUGGCAGUGAAUAAAAAUAUUACCGAUUGAUGGUUCAUUUGAAGUGGGUCCUAAGAGUGAAAAUUCAAUUAGAAACGAGGCGAGGGAUUCUUCUGAUAAAUUAUUGACCGCUAGAUAGCUGGGAGUACUGGUGUUGCAUGCAACUCAUAAAACCGCUAAAUGAUCAAGAUGUGGGCAUACUUGAUGGACCCUGAUGUGUGCCCAUCGUGACAAAUCUCUCCAAAGCAUUCUAUUUACUACUAUUAUUUUUCCUCCCGCAUAUGUCUUAGUGUAUGUAAUGAGAUUGGCAAUUAAUGAUGUUAAAAAUCAAUUCAAUUUUUAUAAGUUGGAUGGGUCUUCGUCUCUAAGAUGGUUUUGCAAUAUAACAUUGUAUAACGGUAGAUGUGUUGGUGUGAAUGAGUGGUUGCAUUCAAGUUUGGCCCUCAACACGUAGAAUGGGGAAAAAAUGAUUCCUAUAGUCAGCCUAGGCUUGUUUUACUGAGUGAGAGUUAUUGAUAUGAUUUUUCAAUUUUAUAUUUUUACCAUAGCUUUCUAAAAGAUUUUCGUGUACUCGAAAGAACCUUACCUAGAUUUUGUCCUAUAUUCUUUUAGGGAAAGUCUAUACAAACAUGAGUUUUACACGUAGUUUUAAAACAAACUGAUGUGGCAAGUGACUUGUGUUACUACCACUUGCUAGAAGCCAAGUGAAUAUUUUUUUUUCAGUUUCCCGCUAGUUUGAAUUCAGAGGUAUGCACAUCAUCCAUUAACGCUUAGUUGUUUGCUCCA
Molecule: long non-coding RNA, 2276 nt
Organism: Populus euphratica (Euphrates poplar)
Lineage: Eukaryota; Viridiplantae; Streptophyta; Magnoliopsida; Malpighiales; Salicaceae
Exons: 4
Source: RefSeq, a predicted model, not a curated record